RNAcentral lists this long non-coding RNA (1556 nucleotides) under Cinara cedri. Lineage: Eukaryota; Metazoa; Arthropoda; Insecta; Hemiptera; Aphididae. The record is from RNAcentral.
AUUUAUAACUAUUGAAAACAUUUGAAUUUUUUUGGUUUUAUUUAAAUAACUCAUUUUUGGCUUUAUAUAUUAUGUUAAAAUUUGAUUCAAGAUUCCUUAUACGUUUUUCUUGUAGUAGUAGUAUACGGUAAUUGGAAACCUCAAAUGUAUCUAUAAACUGUUUUUCGAACACUGCCUCACCUAUAUAUUUUUGUUUAAUUGUGGCUUGUUACAAUUAUUAAAAUAAUUAUGUAGGUAUAUUGAAUUUACGUAUUGCAGAAAAUAAUGAAUACUUAUGGUAAGGUGUUUUUCACUCAAAAUUCUGAUUUAACCCUCCAAUAUUGGUUAGAUAUAAUUUAAGGCGUUUCAUUCAAUGGCAUAAUAUGUUAUUAUUUUUUUUGGGUCAUUCAAUUUUUAUUAGUCAAUUGCAUCAUACUUGCACGCUUUAGAUACGAUAAUUUUUAUACCUGUUUAUUAUUUAAACAAUUUGCUUUUGUUUUUUCUAACAUUACAAGGUUCUUUGGGCAUAAUUGUUUCAAAAUCAAUGUGAAUAUGGUGAGAAAACCUACAUAAUAACUUAUAUUUAUCCUAUACCCGAAAAUGUAAAUAAUAACUACAUACCUACUUGUUAUGAUAAUGUUAGUUAUUAAGAAAUCAUAUUUUUGGGCAACUUGAUGCCUAUGUUAAAAAUAUAAAAGCUUUGCAGAAAAUGGAAAUAGAUUAUUUUUGUAAAUAGAAAUAAUAUGUUAACAUGGUAAAAUCCAUAGGUAUAAAAAUAUUUUUUGUUAUCUGUGGUCAUUGAACCGCAUCGAUGUUAUUAUUUUGUUUUAGCGAGUCGAUUUCUAUAAUUGUUUCGUAUCAUUGAUUAGGUGUUGCCAAAAAUUUGCCAGGAUCACGAACUUGCACUGUUGCUUAUUUACCGUAAAAUAAGUACCUAUACCAUUGGAUGAUAUUAUAUUGAUAUCAUUGAACGAUUCUCUUCAAUGUUAGACUUUAUAAUUGAUAAAAGUGUCCAAUCCCCCUGUCUAACAGUAAAAUUGUAACUAAGGCGUUAUUUUUUUAAGGAGUUUUCUAUUUUAAAAGUGGCUGAAAAUAUAUUUCGCAAUCCCCGUAAAAAAAGGUCUAGGUACGUCACUGACUAGACAGAUCGUCAUUCUUCUUCCAGUGAGUGUGGAUUAUCAAUGGUAUGAGUCUGCUACGAGUGUCAAAUUAUUGAAAUAAAUCCUUUUGUGAUUUUCGUUUUUUUUUUUUUUUUUAUCAACCAUUUUUCUACAAGAAAAAUUGCACCAGUUACAAGUGUAGCUCCUUUUUUGAAAACAGAAAUUAUUAUUAAUAGUUGGUUCAAUGGAGGGUCAUUUUUUCUAAAGUACCUAUCUAUUUUUCAGGGUUAGGUAUGUAUAAAGCAUGUAGGUACCUAGUAUGAUGCGUACGUAUCAAACUACUUGAUUUUAUACGUUUUUUACCGUAUACAAGCUUUUACGUUUUUUUUAUUAUUACUGCACUGAACAAAGGAUAUAGGGUAUAAUUUUUAUACCCACUAAUAAUAACUGUUAAUAUGUUUUUUUAUAGUCAGGCAG